Long non-coding RNA from Folsomia candida, 787 nucleotides. RefSeq lists it as uncharacterized. Lineage: Eukaryota; Metazoa; Arthropoda; Collembola; Entomobryomorpha; Isotomidae. The transcript is spliced from 3 exons. The record is from RefSeq and is a predicted model, not a curated record.
UGCAAAAGUGUGUGUGUGUGUGUGUGUGUGUGUGUGUUUGUGUGAUGAAGGGUCAUACAGGAUGGAGAUUGAUAUCAAUAAAUUGUAACAACAGCACCAAAGAUAGGAUGAUAAAUGAAGGUUUUAUUUUCUGGUAAGUGUGUAGGUUACAUGAAAUAUAUGUACAUAUGAAAAUACGCAUGUUUCAUUGCAAAAUAUUUGCAAAAUUAAGCUUGGUAUGCUUAGUUCAUUAAUUAUUUUAGAUUUUAGUUAUGAUUUUCAUUAUUAUUUUUUCUUUCUUUUCAAGUUACAUAUUCCGUCUUACUGCAACAUUGUGUCUUACAGCGGAAAGUGAAAGUAACUCGACCAAGAGAGAAAAGUUUCUUCCACUAGUACCUCCAACAAGGAGCUCGCCCACCAAGUAAUGCAAGCAUGUUCUUCAGAGGAGCCAUAUCCUUUGGCUCCACGCCGAGAAGCAACAGGUGCUGUGGUGGUAAUAAUUUCAUCAAACGUAGACUUCUUCAACGGUCCAUUAUGGAGUUUUAUAAUCAAGAACUGAGCAACACGAUCCCCAAGUUCAACUUGAUAUGGAAGUUUCCCAUGGUUGAUUAGCAUAACCCCCAAAGUUCCUUCAAAAUCUUCAUCGACCACGCCCCCCAUGACGUCAAUUUUAUGCCGCAACGCUAACCCAGACCUUGGUUUAAUCAAACCAACAUGGCCCAACGCAGAUUGAGGGUGCAACUUUGUUGGAAAUUUACUUUCAAAGGUCUUCCUAAUAAAGUGGACCGUUCUAUAGUCAUCUAGAAGG